GGAGAAGAUUCCAUGGGAAGGAGAGUUCACCCUUAGAAGCGAUCCGUGAGCUGGGUUGAUAGCGUCUAGCGGCAGUUUUUACC
RNAcentral lists this ribosomal RNA (83 nucleotides) under Symbiodinium sp. clade D. RNAcentral's name for it is "partial Bacterial large subunit ribosomal RNA". The record is from RNAcentral. Lineage: Eukaryota; Dinophyceae; Suessiales; Symbiodiniaceae.